AUCCAGCCGACGAGUCCCAAAUAAGAGGAAACGCACGUCCUGGAU
Molecule: non-coding RNA, 45 nt
Filed under: Schistosoma margrebowiei
Lineage: Eukaryota; Metazoa; Platyhelminthes; Trematoda; Strigeidida; Schistosomatidae
Source: RNAcentral